UCGACUCCUACGGGGAGGCAGCAGUGGGGGAAUAUUGCACAAUGGGCGCAAGCCUGAUGCAGCCAUGCCGCGUGUGUGAAGAAGGCCUUCGGGUUGUAAAGCACUUUCAGUCGUGAGGAAGGUAGUGUAGUUAAUAGCUGCAUUAUUUGACGUUAGCGACAGAAGAAAGCACCGGCUAACUCCGUGCCAGCAGCCGCGGUAAUACGGAGGGUGCGAGCGUUAAUCGGAAUUACUGGGCGUAAAGCGCAUGCAGGUGGUUUGUUAAGUCAGAUGUGAAAGCCCGGGGCUCAACCUCGGAAUAGCAUUUGAAACUGGCGGACUAGAGUACUGUAGAGGGGGGUAGGAAUUUCAGGUGUAGCGGUGAAAUGCGUAGAGAUCUGAAGGAAUACCGGUGGCGAAGGCGGCCCCCUGGACAGAUACUGACACUCAGAUGCGAAAGCGUGGGGAGCAAACAGGAUUAGAUACCCUGGUAG
RNAcentral lists this ribosomal RNA (473 nucleotides) under uncultured bacterium. RNAcentral's name for it is "bacterial SSU rRNA". It matches the Rfam family "Bacterial small subunit ribosomal RNA", at positions 332 to 793 of the family's 1533-position model. The record is from RNAcentral.